Molecule: long non-coding RNA, 1788 nt
Organism: Homo sapiens (human)
Lineage: Eukaryota; Metazoa; Chordata; Mammalia; Primates; Hominidae
Source: Ensembl
GCUAUCUGAAUUUCUCCUUCUCCUAAAAAUGCACAUCCUAUGACUGAAAAGACAGGAAAGAUGACAAACUCUAUGGAAACUUGGCUUCUGAAGAACUCCUAGAAGCUUUCCAAAGUCAUCAGUGUUUCCUAAGAAGGCAGAGAAAUCAAACACAUGGUCUUUUCCUCUAGACAAGCUCCUUUGGGUCAUCAGGAUUUCUUCAACAAUAAAAUGUUGCUUCACAGUCUUCCCUUCUAUCUGAUUCAGUGGACCAAGUAAAUGACUCUCUGGUAACAGAAUUUGUAUUACUUGGACUUGCACAAUCCUUGGAAAUGCAGUUUUUCCUUUUUCUCUUCUUCUCUUUAUUCUAUGUGGGAAUUAUCCUGGGAAACCUCUUCAUUGUGUUCACAGUGAUCUUUGAUCCUCACUUACACUCCCCCAUGUAUAUUCUGCUGGCCAACCUAUCGCUCAUUGACUUGAGCCUUUCAUCUACCACAGUUCCUAGGUUGAUCUACGAUCUUUUUACUGAUUGUAAAGUUAUUUCCUUCCAUAAUUGUAUGAUACAAAAGUUCUUUAUCCAUGUUACGGGAGGAGUUGAAAUGGUGCUGCUGAUAGUCAUGGAAUAUGAUAGGUACACUGCGAUCUGCAAGCCUCUCCACUAUCCAACUAUUAUGAAUCCCAAAAUGUGCAUGUUUUUGGUAGCAGCAGCUUGGGUCAUUGGGGUGAUUCAUGCUAUGUCUCAGUUUGUUUUUGUCAUAAAUUAACCUUCUGUGGCCCUAAUAAUGUGGGGAGCUUUUAUUGUGAUUUUCCUCGGGUUAUUAAACUUGCAUGCAUGGACACUUACGGGCUAGAAUUUGUGGUCACUGCCAACAGUGGAUUCAUAUCGAUGGGCACCUUCUUUUUCUUAAUUGUAUCAUACAUUUUUAUUCUGGUCACUGUCCAACGACAUUCCUCAAAUGAUUUAUCCAAAGCAUUCUUCACUUCGUAGGCUCACAUCACCGUAGUGGUUUUGUUUUUUGCUCCAUGCAUGUUUCUCUACGUGUGGCCUUUCCCUACUAAGUCAUUGGAUAAAUUUUUUGCCAUCAUGAACUUUGUUGUCACCCCUGUCUUAAAUCCUGCCAUCUAUACUUUAAGGAACAAAGAUAUGAAGUUUGCAAUGAGAAGGCUGAAUCAACAUAUUUUAAAUUCUAUGGAGACGACAUAACACAUUUGGUUGAUGAGAGCACAGGAUAAAUGCCAUGGACCAUCAAGACUCCUGUGAUCACCAUGAUCACUAUGGAACGCGCACAUUUUUAGUAUUGCCUGAAAAAACUGAAAAAUCUGCAAAAAGGAUGCAUUAAAUCUAAGAAUUGUAUUUCAGAUAAAGUUGCAACAUUUUUUGUUAAUCAUAAAAAGUAUAUAUUUCUAUCUAAUGUGUGUAUCUAAUUAACAGCAAUGACUAUCUUUAAUUUUGAUGUAGUUAUUUUAUAUCUGUAUAUAAGCACAUACACAUAUAUAUGACCUAGGUUUAUUUAUCAGUAUUUUUAUGCUGAUAAUAAGCAUCACUGGAAAUUAAUUUUCUUAUGGAAAUUAUGUGGAUCCAAUGGAUAAAAUAUGAGUUUAUAUAAAUUAGUAAAUGCCAAAAUCAAGGAAGAAACAAUUUUUAUUUUAAUUGUACUUUAAGUUAGAUAAAUGGUAAGGUCAACAGCUUGUUACAACCCUUAAGUAUUAUUUUCAGGCUGAUUGUCAAUAUGUUUUGUACAAUGUUCUCACUUAUAGGUGGGAAUUGAACAAUGAGAACACAUGGACACAGGAAGGGGAACAUCACAC